This 1440-nucleotide ribosomal RNA is filed under the name uncultured organism. Its description in RNAcentral is "16S ribosomal RNA". It matches the Rfam family "Bacterial small subunit ribosomal RNA". The record is from RNAcentral.
CAGGCUUAACACAUGCAAGUCGAGGGGCAUCAGGAAGAAAGCUUGCUUUCUUUGCUGGCGACCGGCGCACGGGUGAGUAACACGUAUCCAACCUGCCCUUUACUCGGGGAUAGCCUUUCGAAAGAAAGAUUAAUACCCGAUGGCAUAAUGAUUCCGCAUGGUUUCAUUAUUAAAGGAUUCCGGUAAAGGAUGGGGAUGCGUUCCAUUAGGUUGUUGGUGAGGUAACGGCCCACCAAGCCUUCGAUGGAUAGGGGUUCUGAGAGGAAGGUCCCCCACAUUGGAACUGAGACACGGUCCAAACUCCUACGGGAGGCAGCAGUGAGGAAUAUUGGUCAAUGGGCGGUAGCCUGAACCAGCCAAGUAGCGUGAAGGAUGAAGGCUCUAUGGGUCGUAAACUUCUUUUAUAUAAGAAUAAAGUGCAGUAUGUAUACUGUUUUGUAUGUAUUAUAUGAAUAAGGAUCGGCUAACUCCGUGCCAGCAGCCGCGGUAAUACGGAGGAUCCGAGCGUUAUCCGGAUUUAUUGGGUUUAAAGGGAGCGUAGGUGGACUGGUAAGUCAGUUGUGAAAGUUUGCGGCUCAACCGUAAAAUUGCAGUUGAUACUGUCAGUCUUGAGUACAGUAGAGGUGGGCGGAAUUCGUGGUGUAGCGGUGAAAUGCUUAGAUAUCACGAAGAACUCCGAUUGCGAAGGCAGCUCACUGGACUGCAACUGACACUGAUGCUCGAAAGUGUGGGUAUCAAACAGGAUUAGAUACCCUGGUAGUCCACACAGUAAACGAUGAAUACUCGCUGUUUGCGAUAUACAGUAAGCGGCCAAGCGAAAGCAUUAAGUAUUCCACCUGGGGAGUACGCCGGCAACGGUGAAACUCAAAGGAAUUGACGGGGGCCCGCACAAGCGGAGGAACAUGUGGUUUAAUUCGAUGAUACGCGAGGAACCUUACCCGGGCUUAAAUUGCAGUGGAAUGAUGUGGAAACAUGUCAGUGAGCAAUCACCGCUGUGAAGGUGCUGCAUGGUUGUCGUCAGCUCGUGCCGUGAGGUGUCGGCUUAAGUGCCAUAACGAGCGCAACCCUUAUCUUCAGUUACUAACAGGUCAUGCUGAGGACUCUGGAGAGACUGCCGUCGUAAGAUGUGAGGAAGGUGGGGAUGACGUCAAAUCAGCACGGCCCUUACGUCCGGGGCUACACACGUGUUACAAUGGGGGGUACAGAAGGCAGCUAGCGGGUGACCGUAUGCUAAUCCCAAAAGCCUCUCUCAGUUCGGAUCGAAGUCUGCAACCCGACUUCGUGAAGCUGGAUUCGCUAGUAAUCGCGCAUCAGCCACGGCGCGGUGAAUACGUUCCCGGGCCUUGUACACACCGCCCGUCAAGCCAUGGGAGCCGGGGGUACCUGAAGUACGUAACCGCAAGGAUCGUCCUAGGGUAAAACUGGUGACUGGGGCUAAGU